CCUGUCCUCUCCUGCAGACCCCCCCCACCUGUUCCAGAGGAGGGCUGGUCUCUGGUGCCGUGUGCUCAUCCCACCAGGAUCGUCCUCCAGUGGCCGCAGCAGUCCGGCUCCUCCCCCCGACCCGAGCCCCCCCGUGAGCCUCUGCCGGUGAGGAAGGUCCCGGAGCAGCAGUGGAUGAAGAGCGCCCGACUUCUGAUGAAGAAGAGGAGCCAGGUGGGCAGCAGGUGGCGCAAGAGAGGAGCUGAGGCUGCAGAGAGGAGCAAAGAGGGGAGGAAAGAAGCGAAGAGGAGAGGAGGAGGGAGGCAAAAUUAAGAGUGACAUCUCACAAACAAAAUGGUAAUAAUCAAGAUAUCCAAUAUCAUUUCUAGAUUUCACAAAGUUAUUUACGUUUGUAAAGAACUUCACAUGCAACGAAGGUAAAAACCAAGUUAUUCAAUCUUUUGUUUCUAGAUUUCAGGAAGUUCAGUUCACUUGUUCACACGUUAUUUUUGAAGAUUCUAACAUCACUUGUUUUUAUUUUUAGAGAGAGGAGAGGGUAGGAGAGGAGGUGGAGGGGCAAAACUAGGCAUGACUUCUCAUGUAAAGAAGGUCAAAUACUGAUACUAGAUUUCACAAAGUUCUGUUCACGUGUUAUUUGAAGAUUUUAACAUGUUUUCCUUUUGUCUUUUAGAGACCUGAGAGGAACUGAGGAGAGGAAGGGAGGAGGCAAUAAUUAAGUUUGACCUCUCACAAAAAAAGAAUUCAGGAGAGAAGAAAGGGUUAAAGAACAGGACAUGUGAAGAGACGAGGAAAGAGGCUGAACAGAAGAGAUUCUAAGUUUUGGAAUAAAAUGACGAUGCUAUGUAGUAAUUAUUUUAAAUAUUGUAAGGUUGCAAUAAACUAUAACUUGUGUAAUUUUGAGGAGAAUAAAUAUGAUUUGUAAUAAAACAUUUUAAAUAAAAAUGCCUUGGUUUACAGAGUGUUGCUUGUAUGUUUUGUCAGACAGCACCUAUCUUUACAAAUAUUUAGUCUCAGCCAACAGGAGUGGGUUUCACAUUUUACUGUAAGAAACUUUGGCUUCCAGAAAAUCAAGGCUUCAAAGUCCUGCAGUGUUCUUCAUUUCUCACACAACCACACAUAUAAUAGGCGUUUGGAUAUGGACUACAUUUCUUGAUGCUUUGGCUAAUGCCUGCAGGUCAUCUGGCUAAGCCUUUCAGAAGCAAUGUGAUUCCAUUAGAAGGACUCAUGCCAGUAAUCAAAGCUUUUAAUAAUCAGAUGCAUUUCAUGUUCUACUUUGUUCUGGCAUCAGUGGCUUAGACAAAGAAACAUUAUUUGACUUCAGACUAGAAGGGAUAUCUGACUAUUCCAUACACUUGUAUCUAAUUAUCUACUACAUACUGUUCCUAACAAGCAUUCAUUUUAGGGAGGAAUAAAACCAACACGUGAACCAUGACUUUCAUACUCAUCUUUGUUUUCUUUGAAUUUGAUGAACUGGUUGCUAUAAUACUGCUCCAAAAGCAUUUCAUACUUAAGAAGAGUAUUAUAUUGUAAAUAUUUCAGUUUGUAACAUUCCUUUUACUUGUUGAAUCCCCCUGAAAAGAGCCAGCUUUAUUGGUCUUCCAUUCAUUGUAGAAAAUGGUUAAUGAUUUUAAAGCAUUUAGUCUUUAUAAUAUUCUUGUGCUAAAAGAUUAUUUAGAGUGAUAUGAUAUACUAUACUUGAAUGAAGCUUGCAUUAGUCAUAAAAAACCUACUUUAUGACAAAUAUUUCGAAAAUUCGAAGCAGCUUGUUCUUUGUUGUGGCAAAUAAAGCAAUAUUGCAACGAUUUGCCACAACAAACAUAUCACAAUUAUUUGAUGAUGAAUUAAAGAUUUAAAAGAUGCUGAUUUUUAUAUAUACAUUUUAUUGACUGUUGGCAACCACAAGUAUGCCAUUCUGUAGACAUCAUAUUGCAUUCUGGUAAAUAAUGUCAAACAUUUGUUAUUAUUUAGCGUUAGUUGUUUUGCCACAUAACUAGAUCAUUGCUCCAUGUUUAUAAGGUAUUUAUUUGACAUGUACUUGACCUCCUGACUGUGUGACCAGCAGAUGUCAGCAUCUACACACUUUUAAUGGCUGCUGCCAUCCUGGAGUCUGAACUCAAACACCUCCAGUGAGUGGCUUAGACGCAAGCAGUGGGGCAGUCAACUUCAAACGUAUGAUAGUUCAGUGAAGCUCACUCUCCUCUUUUCUAUUUCUUUCCUGUACAUUUAUAUAAGUGCAUGUAUUACUGUAAGGUCAAAGAUUAAGAUGUGCCAGUUUGUUCUAUAUACAUAUCGGAUGAGGAUAAUUCAGCAUCAUUCACAAUGACACAAUUAUCAAUACAUAAAUGUUAAUGGUCGAAAUCAGACCAUACCAAAUAUAUUUAACCUAAUGUGUUGCAAUGCGGAAUGAAUGCUUCAGUUCUGAUGGAGUGCCAUACACAGUACUGGCUUCAUUCAACACCUCCUUAUAUUAAAGUUAAUGUGCAGUCUUUGUUGAAAAUAUGAUUAAGAGGAUUAGAUUCUACUUUAUGAUCACUAUAUCUUGUGCUGCUGUUGUCUUAUCCCAUUUAUGUCCAGGAGGGUAACAUCCUCUAUAUUAAAAAGGGUAGACAAAGUGAUAUCUGGUUUAACUAUCAAAAUAAACUGCACUUUCCACAUGACAAUGGUGAGCUGACAAAUCAACACACAGAAAGAUCUUUGACAAACUAAUACAGAUUAGAUUUCUUGCUUUUCUUUGUUUUAUAUCAUGCUCAUAUCUUAGUAAAUAUCUCUGAGUAUGGACUGUCAUAUCAAUUUAUAGACAUCACAUUGGAUUUUGAGAAACUAUCAUGGACAUUUUAAACUAUUUUCUUAAAUUGUAUAUGCCAAACAUUUAAAAAAAAUAAUCUAACUA
Notothenia coriiceps (black rockcod) is the source of this 2890-nucleotide long non-coding RNA. RefSeq lists it as uncharacterized. NCBI's taxonomy places the organism in Eukaryota, Metazoa, Chordata, Actinopteri, Perciformes, Nototheniidae. The record is from RefSeq and is a predicted model, not a curated record. The transcript has 3 exons.